GUUUUACACCGGGUGGCCGCUCUUGUUUUAAACAAGAGAGGAAAGUCCGAACACCCCCCGCCCAAGGCGAGGCAAUCCCGCCCAAGGCGAGGCAAGGGUAGUGGCUAACAGCCACGCUGUCUUGUAGAAAUACAAGAUGGACAGAUAGCGCAACAGAAAAUAUACCGCCUACUUUUACUUUAAGUAGGUAAGGGUGAAAUCGUGCAUUAAGAGUGCACGCAUUGGUAUGGUGACAUAUCAAUGUGGCAAACACUUACCUGGUGCAAGGCCGUACUAAUGGUAUUUUAUGCCAUUAGGGUGCCGCUUGAGCUGUUUAGUAAUAAACAGCCUAGAUAAAUGGCCACCGUCCUGUUUUAUACAGGAUACAGAAUUCGGCUUAUAGGUGUAAAACAAAA
Molecule: RNase P RNA, 395 nt
Filed under: bacterium
Lineage: Bacteria
Description: RNase P RNA component class A
Rfam family: Bacterial RNase P class A
About the family: Ribonuclease P (RNase P) is a ubiquitous endoribonuclease, found in archaea, bacteria and eukarya as well as chloroplasts and mitochondria.
Source: RNAcentral